UUUGUUUUAUAAAAGAAAACCGGAAUAAAUGAGUUUACGUCACUUUUUCUUUUUUAAUAGUUUACUUAGAAAUUGAUUUCUACGUCAAAAAGCGUAGCUUCCUAGAAAGACGAUAAGACCCUAUAAAAUUUAUACUUUGAGGUGGGAGUGUAAUUUAGUAAAAAAUUUACAUCAAAAAGUUAUGCUGGGGCGGCUACUAAUAUUCUUUAGGAUAAAUCACACCUUAUAUGUAUAGAUAGAUCUUUUAAAAAGAUAGAAAAAGUUACUUUAGGGAUAACAGCGUAAUUUUAUACAAUUUAAAUUUUAUAUAAAGACUUACGACCUCGAUGUUGAAUUGAGGGGCCAGCCUCAUUUAUGAGGUGUGGAAGUCUGUUCGACUUUUGAUUCCUC
Molecule: ribosomal RNA, 390 nt
Filed under: Macrostylis scotti
Lineage: Eukaryota; Metazoa; Arthropoda; Malacostraca; Isopoda; Macrostylidae
Description: partial 16S ribosomal RNA
Source: RNAcentral